GUGCUCACUUCAGCAGCACAUAUAGUAAAACUGAACAAUACAGAGAUUAGCACAGCCCCUACGUACAGAUGACAUGCAAAUUCGUGACGUGUGCCAUAUUUUA
Loxodonta africana (African savanna elephant) is the source of this 103-nucleotide small nuclear RNA. NCBI's taxonomy places the organism in Eukaryota, Metazoa, Chordata, Mammalia, Proboscidea, Elephantidae. The record is from Ensembl.